GAGUUUGAUCGUGGCUCAGGAUGAACGCUGGCGGCGUGCCUAAUACAUGCAAGUCGAGCGAACAGACGAGGAGCUUGCUCCUCUGACGUUAGCGGCGGACGGGUGAGUAACACGUGGAUAACCUACCUAUAAGACUGGGAUAACUUCGGGAAACCGGAGCUAAUACCGGAUAAUAUAUUGAACCGCAUGGUUCAAUAGUGGAAGACGGUUUUGCUGUCACUUAUAGAUGGAUCCGCGCCGCAUUAGCUAGUUGGUAAAGUAACGGCUUACCAAGGCAACGAUGGCGUAGCCGACCUGAGAGGGUGAUCGGCCACACUGGAACUGAGACACGGUCCAGACUCCUACGGGAGGCAGCAGUAGGGAAUCUUCCGCAAUGGGCGAAAGCCUGACGGAGCAACGCCGCGUGAGUGAUGAAGGUCUUCGGAUCGUAAAACUCUGUUAUUAGGGAAGACAAAUGUGUAAGUAACUAUGCACGUCUUGACGGUACCUAAUCAGAAAGCCACGGCUAACUACGUGCCAG
RNAcentral lists this ribosomal RNA (520 nucleotides) under uncultured microorganism. Its description in RNAcentral is "bacterial SSU rRNA". It matches the Rfam family "Bacterial small subunit ribosomal RNA", at positions 9 to 511 of the family's 1533-position model. The record is from RNAcentral.